Molecule: ribosomal RNA, 427 nt
Filed under: uncultured Desulfovibrionaceae bacterium
Lineage: Bacteria; Pseudomonadati; Thermodesulfobacteriota; Desulfovibrionia; Desulfovibrionales; Desulfovibrionaceae
Description: bacterial SSU rRNA
Rfam family: Bacterial small subunit ribosomal RNA
Source: RNAcentral
UGGGGAAUAUUGCGCAAUGGGCGAAAGCCUGACGCAGCGACGCCGCGUGAGGGAUGAAGGUUCUCGGAUCGUAAACCUCUGUCAGAAGGGAAGAAAUUAUAUCAUGCUAAUCAGUGGUGUAUUGACGGUACCUUCAAAGGAAGCACCGGCUAACUCCGUGCCAGCAGCCGCGGUAAUACGGAGGGUGCGAGCGUUAAUCGGAAUUACUGGGCGUAAAGCGCACGUAGGCUGUAUGACAAGUCAAGGGUGAAAUGCCACGGCUCAACCGUGGAACUGCCUUUGAAACUGUCAAACUGGAGUAUGUGAGAGGGCGGCGGAAUUCCUGGUGUAGGAGUGAAAUCCGUAGAUAUCAGGAGGAACAUCAGUGGCGAAGGCGGCCGCCUGGCACAAAACUGACGCUGAGGUGCGAAAGCGUGGGUAGCAAACA